GCCAGGUACGGUGGCACACCUGUAAUCCCAGCUGCUUGGGAGGCUGAGACAAGAGAAUCUUGAGCUCAAAGCCAGCCUCAGUAAUGAAGAGGUGUUAAGCAACUUAGGGAGACCCUGUCUCAA
This 123-nucleotide small RNA is filed under the name Marmota monax (woodchuck). Lineage: Eukaryota; Metazoa; Chordata; Mammalia; Rodentia; Sciuridae. The record is from RNAcentral.